Cygnus olor (mute swan) is the source of this 4903-nucleotide long non-coding RNA. RefSeq lists it as uncharacterized. NCBI's taxonomy places the organism in Eukaryota, Metazoa, Chordata, Aves, Anseriformes, Anatidae. The transcript is spliced from 3 exons. The record is from RefSeq and is a predicted model, not a curated record.
CGAGGAGAGGUAGGAGAACUCAGUGUCCUUCGGUAGGUGAGGGCAUGGGUGGUCCCUGUCCUGGGGGAUGUUCUCUGAGCUUUGCUCAGAUAAAGGCCUGGGGCAGCAUGAGCAUUUAGGAUGUUCAGCAGCUGUGGCUGGCCAAGUCAUAGAUGAUUUGAAAAUGCAGCCAUCUGAGAGGUGGUACGAACUGAUUUCACUGGAACUGUCCAGAUUUGCAUCAGCUUAAAGAUCUAAUCCUUAGCUAUAUGACUGAGGGCGCUCCACGCUGGUUGUUGAAGAGAGAGGCCAUUUCAGGACACCUCUGCAUCCUUCACCAACUUCUGAUCUCUGGUAUGCACAGGAUGGAGGAAAGAAAAGGACAACUAAACAGUCCCCACAUGCCAUUAAGACAAUUAAGACAUGACAUUAAGGCAUUCCUAAAACAAGUGUUACUGGCUUCAAAAACUGUCCAGAAAUUUUCCUUAUGCAGGUCUUGCUUCACUUCUCACCUGCUUUUGUGUUCGCACCAGGCUGCAGCCUGCUAAGAGCGGCUUUCCACUUGCCCAGGGUUUUGGAGCUGUUUUUUGCAGCCGUUUUAUUAUCUCAGCCAGGUGGAAGAGAUCAUCAACAUUUUUUAAUCAGCUUUGGAAGUGGGUGUAGUUGAUCCAAGAAUGAAACACAUUCACGAACUGCUAAAUCCAAUCGCCUGUGGGUGACUGAUUACUUUAAGCUUUCCUAAUUGACUGACUGUGGGAUUUCUGCGAAGGAGUUAUUCUGGCACUCAGGAAGUCCACGCAACUGUUUCAAUCCUGGGAAUAACUUGCAAGUUGUGUACUAAACUGUGUUUUACUUCAAUGGUGCUGAGUGUUUGAGCGAAAUACACAGAUGGGUGUGCUAGAGCUGUGCUGGAUUAGAGUGGGUGGUUUUUUCUCUUGUUAGUAACAAUUUAGGUGAUGGGAGAAGUAAGUCUGUGGAACCCUCAAGAAGAGCUUGAGGAGUCUUCCCCACUACAAACCUCCUGUAAUACCUCCUGGCGCGGUACUACACAAUAUAUCCGCAUCCAUCUACAUGUGUAAGAAAUUUCUGCAUGUACACACAUGUGCAAAGCAAGAGCGUGGUGCUGGCUGCCCAGCACGCAGCGCUGAGCACCGCGCUGCUGCUCUCAGCCUCGGCUGCUGCUGCUGCCGCAUUUGACGCUGCACAACUGAAAAUGAACCCCUCGGGUGCUGAAGUACCAUUUCCACGACAACUCGCUGCUGACAGCGAGUGUUCGAGAGCAAAUCAUUAAUGCCAUUAUUGUUUGUUUUCAAUGCAGUAGAAAACUCCAGCUGGGGAUGGAUACGCAUAGUGCACAGGGAUGUUUUUGGUAUGAUACAGAGCAACCUGCCGGAAGGUGACUCUGGUCCAGGUGAAGGUCCUUGUUCUGCAGUCAUCGCCCUCGGCUUUUGGACAUGUCGUGUGAAGAACUGGGACCAAGGCUCUCACAGGAUCAAUGGAGAACAUCUUCAAACACACUUCUGUACCUGUUGAGGUUGUGCCAUGAGCAGUCAGAGCUCCUGGGAGCCUUCCCUGUGAAGCAUUCUUCCUGGUUCAGCCCCACUUCUCUGAUAACAAUAAGAAAUAUCUUGGAAAAUUUUUAAUUAAAGUAACUCCUUAACUCUUCAAAAGAACAUAAGUGAGUCACACCAAUCUGUCCCUGAGUUACAAGCUGGACUGAAGAGUUUGGGUUGGGCUGACAACUGAGUGAGAGGAACAGGGUGCCCAGGUAGCUGAGAAGGAAUAGAUGGAGAUGGGGGCCCUGGGAACACCUGCAGGAUCACACGUGUCAACUCUGAGCUGUGGUGUUGGGAUGAUGAUAAAUAAGGGGGAAAUAAGUCACUUGUGUUCCCCGUGCACCAGAGAAACAAACAUACAUAUCUCUAUUGCUCAUAUAUGUAGCGAACUAAAGAGACAAAAAGUUCAGGGCUCAACUUCAGAAGCACAGGGGAUAUCUUUUUGAUAAAGUAUUGCAUGAUUGCUUUUCCUGUAUUUGCCCAUCAGGAAUCCUCUGGCUGCUUUGUUUUGUCCAGGUCAACUUGUGAGCGUGUGACUUCAGUCACAGAAGAGCUUGGUGGUGCUGCAUGGAUAUUCAAUACUUUGCUGUGUAGAAAAUUACACACUCAUUUCCUACUAUUAUCAGCUAAGAUUCCUGGAAAAAAAAGAGAAAGUUGAAGAACUAUCUAUGAGCUCUUCAGCGGAAUUCAUCCCCUGACAUGAAAGCUCCUUUAUGCAGAUGUGGAGCUGGAUUUCUCAUGCAGUGCUAGGAGCUUUGCCUGCUGUGUUAGAGGGUGAUGAUUCUUCUUUUAGUUGUAACUUUUAUCAUUAUUUUUAAACAGUUUCUCAGCCGCUGCACCUUCAUGUCAUCUACCCUCAGGGUAUCUUUAAGUGAACCUUCUUGCAAGCCUGCAGUCCCUUUCUAAAGCGUAGAUGUAUUUUGGGCCAUGGAUGAAAUCACUACAUAUAACAAUCACAGAGUUAUGUUUGGUAACAUGAUUUAUCCAGGGCUGCUUUUACUUGUUCAUAGGGCUAGUGUGAUUAAGGAGAAAAGACAAACACACUGUUGACAUUGCAUCUUUCUGCUACCUUGACUUCAGCCACCUUAUUUUUGCCUCCAUCUUAGGUAAACGCAUCUGGCUGUCUUCAGCAUUGCCUUUGAAUAAGACCAUCAAUGGUCCCUGUGCAUCUAGCCUUUGCUGGCUGCAGAAAUUAUCCAAGGUGUAUCCCAGCUUGGGAUACAAGCCACAGCGGUAGCGCUCCUGGCUAGCCAGCAGCUGCCUGGGAGGGCAGUAGGAAGCCAUGAGGACUGGGGCUCCUGAGGGCUCUCAGACACUUUUCUCCUCAGGCUGGGGGUUGCUGUGUCUGUGCUGUACCUGUGGGAGCCCCGCCAGGCUCAGCCAGGGACACACCUCGGGGAUCCGGAGGGAUGGUGUUUCGGGGCUCGGAGCUGAGGAGGAGCAGAGCUUUUGCAGCGGGUGUGUUUUGUAUCGCAGCGAGCCUUCCGAUUGCUGCUUAUUUACCAAAGGGGUCGGGGCUGGGUGAAAGCAGCAAACAACAAAAAACUGUGGUUUAAAGCAGAAACACCUGUGAAAUCAUGCUAAGUUUGUGUAUAUAUUUUAACUGACAGCAGGGACGAAUUGUUUCUUCAGCUUGUAGAUUUGCAGUGGGUUGAAAAAUGACACAGUCUCCGUGCCCUCCUCCCAAAGUCAAUUGUUACUGAGAACUGAGCCAAGUGAAACAAGCUUUUGUUACUUGCAGUGGAAGAAGAAAAGCUCAACAAAAUGAUUUUGUCUUCCAAAAGCACAUACGGUCAAUUCUGGGCCCUGUGCUCAGAUUUGUAGGGCACUGACCAAAGCAACCAGACAAAGCAAUAAAUAAAGCAAGGGCCUUGUUUGGGCUGUCAGAAGAAUCACUCUGCAGGUUUUACUGAAAUUCGCUUUCUUUCCCAAGAAACCUGUAUAUUUUCAUGUGGAAAACUACAUUAUCUGGUAACUACUCCACACACAGUUACCAGCAGUGCCUGUGCUGGGUUUCGCCACCUAUGCUUGGCUCUUCGGUCCCUCAGCACGCUCACUCCUGAAGCAGACAGUCUCAAGUCAAGGUUCGUCUUACAAAGCCCUGGUUUAUUGUUUCUUUUUGACUGCUUCCUUCCUGUGCUCAUCCCAUAUUAUUCAUAGUUCCUAUUCUCCAGCUCUCGGUUAUGUCAGUUUCAUCCUUUUCCAUCAUUAAACCUCCCUCAUCCCCAACUCUUAAAUUACCACUGGUGGGAUUUUCCCAUUUUCCCAAGUCCUGCCUAUGCUGCGCUUCCCUGGCAGCCGUGCGCUUGUUACGGGACUGGAGAGACUCACGCUUGUCAUGAUUACAUGCAUCCAGACAGCUUAACAACACUAUCUAAUGCAGAUACAAACACACUUCAGGAAUAAAUGAAAAGCAGUUCUAUUUAAAUGAUUGAGGAAAUAAAGACAGCAUGCUAUUGGGUACUGGAACGCUUACUCGCUUUGUUCACAACGAGAGCAGUUGUUGAACAUCACGCAUGUUCCUAUCUUCUUGUUCUGAAGACGAGCCUGCCCCUCACGUGUGUGUGAGGAGCUGUACGUGGUGGUGUCCGUAGGCAUGGGACCGCUCAGGCAGCGCAAAGCAUUCACAUAACCUAAACAGCUUCCUGGCACAGGACUAGCCGCCAGAUGAUUUUGUAGCACUCAGUCUUAUUUCCUUGCUGGAAUAUAUAAAUCUUUUGUUCAUCAACCCUUUUCAUUAUUGGUUCUAAUUUUUAUUUACUGUCAAACAAACUUAUGCUAAUGCUAAGCCUUUCCUGCUUGUAUUAAAGAGGGAUUUCCAUGAACUUAUAAGCUUACCUUGUUGAAUCAGAAUGACAAGUUAGUUUAUCUCAUAAUCUUUAAAAUCUCAUUAUCAGCAGGAACAGCAUAUGGAAUCUUAAAUUGAGCAACUGGAGGUCCUAUUUGUGAACAAAUUGUGUCCAUUGUGAAGGCUGAGUCUGUGCAAAAAAGCAUGCCUCUCCCAUAUGUAACUGCAUGAAUUAGCGGUUAGCCCUGUAGAUGAGGGGAGCUGCAGUUGCUUAUUUACCUAGGGCAGUAUUGGGCUGGUGUGAUCUGAGCUGUGUUGCUUCAUUUGUUUCAUUUUGUGGCUUUUUCUUUUCUCUUUGGCCUCAGUGUUGCAUGUUGGGGCUUCAGUUCAAAUGAAACCCAGUUGAAGCAGCCUAGUUUCAUCUGUGUUCAUUUGUAGACAGUAUUUGAUAUAUAUGGUGCUGCUCUUUUUGUUUAUGUAUCAUUUCGUAAACCAAACCGGAUUGUUUUAAUGAAUUUGCUGAAGAGUGCAGUGAAGCAUUCAGCUCAGGAACUGUCCUCUCUGAUUCAUCGCUAUUUGA